Molecule: ribosomal RNA, 2563 nt
Rfam family: Bacterial large subunit ribosomal RNA
Source: Rfam
UAGUUUCUAAGAGAAAUCGAAUAAUAAACGAAGUGAAUUGAAAUAUCUUAGUAACUUUAGGAAAAGAAAUCAAACGAGAUUGUUAUUUGGUGCAAACUAAAUAACAAGAGCCUAUUAACAAAACUUGUUAAAGUAAAAUGGAUUAAAAUCUGUUUGAAUAUAGGGGAACCUUCCUCUAAGGCUAAAUAUGAUAUAUAAGCGAUAGUGAAAAGUACCGUGAGGUAAAAUUUGAAAUAGUAGUUUUAUAAGCAGCUCGAGUGAAAAUUUAAAUAAGUAAUAAGAGUGUACCUUUUGCAUAAUGGGUCAGCAAGUUAAUUUUAGAUGCAAGCAAUGAUUUCGUGCGCUUUGCGCAUGAAACUAGCUUAGAUAAACCAAUUAUGAGAAAAUGAAUAAGUAUCUAGAAUUAGACCCGAAGGCUAGUGAUCUUACCAUGGUCAGGGUUAUAAAAGCCCGAACGGGUUAUCGUUGUAUAGAUAUCCGAAGAAUUGUGGUAAGUUAGUGAAAGACAAAACUGACUAGUAUAGCUGGUUUUCCGCGAAACCUAUAUGAGUAGGUAAUUUAACUAACAUCUUAGCAGGUACAGAACUGUGAUCUCGGACAAUAUCUUUUGAUUUUGUCAACAUCGGGGGGUUGUAGUGACUUUACCGGAGAGUAUUUGCACUCGGAAUGGCAAAGAUGAAUGUUGAAUAAUCAGACAUAGUGCGAUAAGGUUGUAUGUCUAAAGGGAAACAGCCCAGAACAAGAGUUAAGGUUCCAAAAUUAUUGUUGAGUGAAAUUAAGGAUGUUUUUUUUAAAAACAAUCAGGAAAUAGGCUUAGAAGCGGCCAUUUUUUGAAGACCUCGUAACAGAGCACUGAUUAAUUUAUUUAGAAAAAAACACCGAAAAUUUAACGGAUCUAAACAAUAUACCGAAACCUUGUACACAUAUUUAUAAUAUUAAUAUUGUAUAUGUGGGGUAGCGGAACAUUGGAUAAAUAUUAAUUAUUAUUUCUUCUAAGAAAUAAUAAGUAUGGAUUAUUAUUAAAAAUAUUUAUUUAUUAAAGAUAUUUAUGUAAUAUUAUUAUACCUAAAAGGUAUAAUGUUUAGAUGAAUAUAUAGAUAGAUUAAAUCUGUCUUUAUUAUUAAUAUAAUCCAUCGAUAUAAUCCAAGAGAGAAUGCUGACAUGAGUAACGAAAAAGGAAUAUCCUCGCCUUAAGCUUAUGGUAUUUUAUUUAAUUUUCGGUAUCUAAAAAUAUUAAUCAAAAGGUAAUUUUGAUGAUAUUUAUAUAUAAAUACUUAAAAAAUAAAAAACAAAACCUUUAACAAGUAAUAAAGGUUCUGGAAAAUUUUUUAUGAUAAGCGAAUAAAUAAUCUUUAUUUCGUGAGUAUAAUGCAAUAUAGGUAUGUUAUAUCAUAUAUAAUUUUCUUGUUACAAGUUUUCAAGAUUGUAUAGAUUUUAUCUAUAUUGAAUAUAUUUUAUUCUUAUACUAUUGUAUAAGUAAGGUUUAUAUAUACCGUACCUAGAUACUAUCACAAGUAAGCAAGUAGAGAAUACAAAGGCGUUUGAGUGAACAAUCAUUAAGGAACUCGGCAAAUUGACUACCGUAACUUCGGGAUAAGGAGGGCCAUUAUGAUUAGUUUAACAUAUCUUAUGAUAUGAUUUAAUUAAACUAAUCAUAAGAGGAAACAUGAAAUAAUGUUGUACGACUGUUUAAUAAAAACACAGCACUCUGCAAAGAUAAAAUAUCAAAGUAUUGAGUGUGAUGUCUGCCCAAUGUCGGCUGGGUAACGGAUUUACCUUGGUUUUUAACUGAGGUUUUGAAGGAUACCCCGAUUAAUGGCGGCCUUACCUAUGAGGGUCCUAAGGUAGCGAAAUACCUUGGCCGUUAAAUGCGGUCCUGCAUGAAUGACUUAACGAUACAACAGCUGUCUCGAUGAUUGUCUCAGUGAAAUUGGAAUAGCAGUGCAGAUACUGUUUACCUCUAGAUAGACGAGAAGACCCUAUGCAGCUUUACUGUUACUAAUUGCAAGAGUGAAAAUUUAGGAUGAUUUCGAGUGUAUAAGGUAGUUGUUUGAUAACAAUGAAACACCUUUAUUCGUUUCCUACUAUAUGCUCUUGAGGAUUGGGAGGCAGUUUAUGCGGGGCACAGAUCCCACAAAAAGUACCUGGGUAUAUCCAAAGUUCAUUUUGUAAAUUUGUAAAUUUCUUUACAAAUAUUUUAAUUUGUUAUAAUUAUAUUCAUAAUUAUACAGUUAUUGUUAGAUUAAGUUCAAUAUUUAUUUUUUAUUUAAGUAAGAUUUUAACUAUAUGGUGAAUAGAUGUAUUUUAAACUUUACCCGGGGAGGGAGUGAUUCCCUCCGGGAUAUUUAAAAGUUUUUUCUCAUAUUAAUAUUGUAUUUUAUCUUUAUUGAUAUGAUAAUUAAUUAUACUUUAAAAGUUUAAUGGCUAAAUCUUGCUUUACUGUUUGACCUACAAGUCUAUCAGUCGCGUAAGCGGGGCAUAUGAUCACAAGAUGCAUAAAGGAAAGGUCUUGGAUUAAAGAAAAAGUUACGCUAGGGAUUUAUAUCUGUGAGUCCUCCAAUAU